CCCCCACUCCCACCCCGAAUCAUUCUCAGAAUUUAGUUUUUCAGUUUUGUUAGGAUGGGUUAGUUUCAGCUAUAUUUAUUUUGGCAAGUAUUUAAAAGUAUUUGUUUUAUUUGUGAAGACUUUUCUCCUUGCUGGUUUGUCAUAAAGGUGUCAUCUUUCAUUCACCAACCCUUCAUCAGCUUGGAAGAAUUUUCCUCGUGGGUGGCUGCUUAUAACCUUCUUACCACCCUGGAUCUAGUUCACUGAGCAGUUGAGAUACUAUGGUGAUCAGCUGCUUGUAAACAAAUGAUAAUUAUAAAUUACUUUACAGACAGACAUACUUCCGAUGAUGAUAUGAAUAAUCGGCUAUAAUAAAACAGACUUCCGUAUUCUUAGGAAAUCCAGGGUUGGGUCUUCAACAUGUAUGUUGACUAGUCAGGAAGGAGUUUAGUUUAACAAACAUGUAUUGAAUUUUCAGUCUGGGAGUGCCAUGCCAACGAAUGAUACAACCUGUUUACUGCUCCAGGUGAUCUCCAAAUGUCCUCCGGAAUUCUGUGGGGAAGGAAAUCCUAAACCCUCAACAUAAGGGUGGAAGUGUGUGACUGUGAAUAAUAAAAGUGCCUCACAAUGGUUUGAACAGGAAGUCUGUGGGAGUGCAAUAUAAGGAAUUUAAAAAGCAAAAUCCCAUUUGGAUUUACUCCAAACCCUAUGACUUAAGGGACUGAGGAAUUCUUGAUGACUCUUAGGUGGAGUCCCAACUUGUUAUUUAACUAACGGUGUGAAGUUGUUUUUUCUUCAGCACCAGUCAUGAACUCUUUGUUUGUUUAUGUUUCUAAAGGUCUUAAGGUGGUUUACCAAUUAAGAUAGUAAGACAUUAGACACUGGAGGAUACAACAAGAAAUUGCAGUCUUUCGGUGAUACAUUUAUUUGGCACUAAGCUUUCCAACUGCUAAAGAGAGGCUUGGCCAAGAUAAAAUAUACAGGGUCACAGACACAUAUACACAGUUGUCCAGGUGUGAGUUCAGGCACCCAUACCCUCUUAUCACUCUAGUGCAUGUGCCCAGAGAGCCUCAUUUUCUUAGGGCCUCUGCUGCAACAACUUCAUCUUUUCCAUGUUGAAGAUGCUCACUUGAUGAUAACUAUUUAUAUAAUGUUCUUAUCAUGGUUGGUGGCUUUGCAGUAACCUACUUUAGAGCCUUUCAUUAACUGCCACUGUUAUAAAAGUUUUGGGAAGGGAGCAGAGGACAAGCUGCAGCUGAUGUCUAAGGUAAACCUAUAGCUGCAGAGUUCAUAAUGUUAAGCUGUAUUCCCCAUAAUGCAAUGAAAAGGGAAGAUUCUAAGCAAGGUAAUUUUUUGAGGGUCCACCAUUGAUUUUCCUAUAACGCUUUAAAAAUAUUUUUUAAAAUUUUUAUGUGGUUUCAUUACUACUGAAAGUUUAAAAGUCAGCUCCCAGACCUGGGGCCAAGUAUGUUCCCCUUGGAGUGUUGCCCUCUAAGACUUCGUCAGCUGAGGGAGUAUUUAACUUGAUGGUGGAUACUGCCCGAAUCAGAGAUGUGUGCAUCUCAGAACCUGUGAUUCCUCAGUUAAUUUUGAGGUGGUAGGUGAAGGACCCAGAGCUGUUCUUGCUGCUGAAAUAAUAGCACAUUUACCUGCAGUUGCUAAUAAAAUAAAUGAAUGGAGGCGGAGGACUGGGAAACACACUUGGAGGAGGGAGUGCCCCUCAGGUUGUAAGCCAAGGUAAACAGUCCUUGUAACUGCAAAGUAGACUUCCUGGCAGGCGAGAACCGGAGGAGUGGGUGUGAAGUACAACCACCAAGUACCAUUUUCAGCUGUAGAGAUGGUCGAGUUGCCCUGAGCCUCAAAAUGAACCUCUCAGAGUCAUUUGGGGGAAAUGGGUUUCCUGAACUGGCCUUGGACUGGCCUGUCGUGCCUGCAGCUGGACCCAGAGACAGUGCUUGGGGGAGAAAAGGUCACAUUUGUGCUAGAGAAAGCCAGCAGAUGGGCUCUCUGAGGGGUAGAAAUGAAGUUGGCCGUGACCUAGGGGAAGCCUUGGGGAGGGGGGGGCGGUGGACUGGCAGAACGCAGUGCGAAGGCGUCCCUGAGUCUGUGUGUGAUUUAGAGUUAAUGGAAACAUAGAUGUUUUCUUUCUGUCUUUCAUUACAGUGGAAAACUGUGUCAUUACAGUGGACAGCUGUGCACAUUUUGCAAAUCAUGUGAUGUGUGCAUAUGCACACAUCCUUAUAAGCAACUUGCACACAUAUUAAAAAAAAAAAAAAAAAGAAAUUCCCCACAGGGUCCCUGUUCAUAGUCUCUUUAUGCCUGUUCUUCUGUGAUGAUAGCAUUUUCUUCUCAUUGGAGCUGUUAGGUUCUGUGAAUUCCAACAGAAAAAAAAAUGGCUGUCUGUGUCUGACAAUCAUGAAUUUCUUUAUAUAAAUAAAUAUGUGUAUGUAUGUAGACUGUGUCCUAAAUGGUUUGUAUAAAGCGGUAGGCAUCUCAUCCCUGUGUCUCCUCUUCUGCAGCUAAUCAGGUACUUCCUCAGGUUUAUAGUUGCUGAUGCCCUGCCUGUGCCGUGUGCUGAGAGAUGUAGACCCUCAGAAAGGACUGAUACAGAAAUUCCUUAGAACUUUUCAUACUCAAAGAUUCUUUUGUUUCCCCCUUUGGAUUUCAUUUUCUUAAAAUAAAAUUAGUUUCAGGUGCACAAAACAACAUAGUGAUUCAUACUCAAAGAUUCUUGAAGUUUGGUUGCAUCUGGGAAGGGUACCUGCCUUGUAAAGAGACCCCAGUUCCUGUAACGGUCACUCCAAAAAGCGUUACCUAAAUCCCCUGUCUGUAGUUUUAUUUCUUGAACAUCUUUUUUCCCAUAACUAGCCAUGUGUACUGGGACCAAAUAUUAGGUCCACUGCCUCCCUUUUAAGAAACCAAUUAUAAAGGCAACAUAACUUUACCAAAAAGAGACUUCGGGAAAUAGAGAAGAGAAACAAUGACCCGAAAUGCUCUUGUUCCAACUACAAGAACUAGUUUUGUAUUUUUGUAUAUACGUCCUCUGUCCAGUCUUCCUCUACAUAUGUAUUUUGUGUAUCUUGCAUCUCUCUCCUUGCCACUUAAAAUUACAUUAAAUGCAUUUUCCUAUGUUGCUAUGUAGCCCUCAUUGUAAUAAUUUAAGCCGAUUAAUGGAGAAAUACUGACUGCAGAUUUCGACUUUAUUCCCUUUCCCCCUUUCAUUUCAGGACUAUAUAAAAGGCAAGAGUGUGUGGGGGGGAAAUGGUGCUUCCAGGUGAACUUAAGAGAAAAUUCUAUGUAGCUUGAUUUGUUUUCAGGAGUGCCUAGGCUCCCUAAGCAGAUGAGCGGGCUUGGCUCCCCGCUCUACCUGUGCAUCUGGUCCUUUGUGUCUGGGCCUGUGGCCUGAGGACUGUGGGCCCUGAUUGUGUCGUCUACAUCCCUGCUACCACCAGGACUGUGUUGACUCUAAGGACAGUGAGACUUUUUGUACGCUUUUCUUCUCUUAAGGAACAAUUUGUAGGCUUUGUGCAAACAGCCAGCCCACUGGGUAGGGGCCUUUUAAUUCUGUUGCUUUAUUUUGGAGUGCAUUAUUGGAUUGCAAAUAUUUAUUUAGUAUGAAAAAUGGAUACAAUUAACUGCAUCCUAAAUAGGGACUAGCCAUUAACUUCAAUAUUAAUUUGCAACCUUUGUGCUUUGCAUGCAUGUGACGUACGCCGUUGUUAACCAAGGAUGUUAUCUGAGGAUUUAAAAUAGUUUUCCACUUCCACCGUUCUAUAAAUGAAAACCAGAAUGUUCCUGCUGUAGGUGAGGGCUGGUCCAGUGUCGCUGGGCUGCCUUUCCUUGCUUACAGAGCCCUGGAGCUUGGCCAAGUCGGAUGAGAGGGGAGGAGGAAAGGUUCGGGUUUGAGAGCCCUGGGUUUAUUUCUGGCUGUUGAGAUGUGAGACUGUGGGAGAAGGCAUAAAUAUAGUUUGAAGGAGGUCAUAGACUCAGAGGUUCUCACCAGGGUAAACGCUGGAUGGAUUUGUUUAUGGAUGGAUUUGUUAUAGCAGCUUCACACUUUUACCUCUCAGAGUCCAGGCUUCCACUGGGCACCUCUGAGUGGCUGGGUCUCAUUUGCUGGCUGCCUCUGAAGUCUCCCCCAGUGCACCAACCACUUCCACUUUGGUCCCUUUCUUUCUGACUUUGUGGUCAAAGAAUUAACUUUCUGACCUGCCAGGAGAGCUGAUGGGGAAAAAAAAGAACAAGCAUCUUGGGAAAAGACAGUUAUGGAAAUACUAGAACAUAUAGCACUUGGGGGCUGCAGCUGUGGGGAGUGGGGCUUUGUGGCUGUGUGGGCACCUCACCAUCUCCGUAUACAAGGAGAACAAGGGCAGCUGCUCUCAAGUGCCCAGGCCUGCGAAUCUUUUGACUUUCUGUGGGUUGUUCACUGACUUCCCCUGGGUAGGUUGCAAAUCCUUUUACUGCAUCCACCCCUGUGGGUACGGGAGGGCCCCCUUGCAGCCGCUGCCCUGGUGAACCCCGGCCCUGCACGUGGGUGCUGUCUGCUCUUAGCCACUCGGGGACACUGCCCAGCCAGCCCCACCCCAGCUCUCCUCAUCGAGGGGCAUUUGCUUGCCUUCGCCAGUGGCCUUGGCCUCACUCCCAGUGCUGGUCCCGCCUCCUGGGCCUUGUUGCUUGUCCACCAGACCGUGAAAUCACUCUAGCCUUGGGGCAUCUUAUCCGCCUGUAUGGCUAGCACAUGUUGCUUCCAUUUGCCAGGGAGCUUCCCAGAGGGUAUGACUUCCUCAGGAGGAAUUUAGAUGAUAAGUUCCUUAAGGAGAAACGAACUUUUGUUUAUGGGAGGCAGUAUUGUGUAUAGUGAGAGUUCUAGUUCAUAGUCCAGCCUAGCCACUUGCCUGGUGCGUUCUCCUUGCCAAGCUGCUUGACCUCUGUGGGCAGUUUCCAUCUGUAAAAAUGGGAAUAAUAAUAGUAACCUCAUUACAGUUGUUAUUGUAUAAGGAGUAACUAAGUUGACUCAUUCAUGUAAAUCACUUGAAUAGUGGCUUUAACAUACUAAGCACAUGGUAAAUGUCUGUUGUCGUUGUAUCUUUGUACCUCAGCCUCGAACACUGUGGUUUAUACGUAAUAGGUGCUCACUAAAUGAUUUGUUGAAUAAGUGUAAUAUUCAGAAGUUGGAAAAAUGAUUUCCUCAUCUCUUACCACACUGGUAAUACCUGGUUGCAAUAAAGCAUUAUUGGCAUGAAAACAUUUACCCCAGGUUGGGGAAAGGUAGUAGGAUGUUCCAAAUUCAAUAUCAAUAACCAUAUGCCUAUGAUUUCUUCAUCAGACCUACCUACCCACUGUGUCAGAAGUUUGAUUAAUGUUACUGGCUCCCACAGUAAUUUUGAAAGGGCAAAACAGCUUAGUCAGGUGACUUAUGGCCAGUAAGCAUUGUUAUUGGAACAUUUCACACUCCAGCCUACUUGAUGGCUGUCUUAAGCAGACUCUGCCCUUUCUUGAUGGGCUCACUCUGCAUUCUCACUGUGUUUGCUGCUGAGGUGGGAGGCGGGUAGAAAAGGCUCUUCAGUUGAGAAGGCUCCUGCAUCUUUGUAGCCCACUCAGGGCUAAGCAUGGCGCCAGGUGCCACCUGAUAGGAUCGUUUUUUCUCUUGCUGUGGGGUAUUGAAUUUGAGGGCUGCUCUCAGUUACUGCUCACCUACUAUAAGGAGGAACAAGUGGUCCCCAAAUGUUCCAGAUGAGACAUAGGGAAGGGGUGCUACCAGCUCAUCUUUGAUAAGGAGUCUGAGCCGUUCUCCGGAUGAAGAUCACAGCUCUCCACGCAGUAGGGACUGUGAUCCUACGGACAGGAGUUUUUGACCCAGUUCGUAGAGAUUACAAUUUGGAAAAGAUGGUUUUACGAAAGUGACAAGAACAUGAACCUGAAGUCCUUUGUCUCAAUGUAUUCCAGAAUUAUUUUUGACCAUUGAAUUCUCCCCUUGUGCCUAACUUAAAAAAAAAUAAUAAUAAAUUGAUUUCAGUCCAAACGAAUGCAGUAUGGUUCUUGUGUGGCGAGAUUCACAGGUGGUUUGAAGGAUUCAUCAUCUUGUAAAAAGAACAGAGGCGUUUACAAUUGCCAUCCAUCUUUCUCAAGUAUCUCUCACCCAAAUUGAAGCGGCCCAUUGAAAACCUGAUCUUCAUCAAAGGAAAAGCACACUUUGGGGCCAUCUCACCGCUUCUGCUACAGCUCCAUGCUCUGCUUGUGGGCAAAAGACAGGGCUGAGCACAGAGCGCCGGGGACAGCCGGGGACUGCCGCACGUGGCGCUAACAUGCAGAUGCUGCUCAACAGAACACUGACCCAUUUUCUUA
Hipposideros armiger (great roundleaf bat) is the source of this 6324-nucleotide long non-coding RNA. RefSeq lists it as uncharacterized. The transcript is spliced from 4 exons. NCBI's taxonomy places the organism in Eukaryota, Metazoa, Chordata, Mammalia, Chiroptera, Hipposideridae. The record is from RefSeq and is a predicted model, not a curated record.